Oryctolagus cuniculus (rabbit) is the source of this 678-nucleotide non-coding RNA. The record is from RefSeq and is a predicted model, not a curated record. NCBI's taxonomy places the organism in Eukaryota, Metazoa, Chordata, Mammalia, Lagomorpha, Leporidae.
CCUCCCCACCCAGCCCUCUCCUGUAGGCAGCCCUGCACCGACCAGGAUGACCAAGGACACAGGGCUGGGGCCCUCACCUGACACCUCGAGCUGCAGGGGGUCACUGCGCCAUGACCACAGCCUACAUCAGGUUGAGAGGACGUCCCCCUCCCAGAAACAGGAGCUGGCACAGCGUGCACUCAGUGGCAUUCACAGUAAAGCUGCAGAAAUGGAACGACCCACACAGCUUCGCCUCAGGAGGAAGCUGGCACCAUGCAGCCUCCAGCCCCGCCCGCCCCAGGGCUCUGUGGGCUCCCAGCCCUGGGUGUUUCUGGGAACGGUGCUAUGCGGGGCCCUUUGUGUGUGGCUGCACCUCCUGCCUCACGCAUCCUCACUUCAUGGCUUCCUGGGGCUCUGCAGAGUUCCCACAGAGCCAGGGACCCACCUCCCUGAGCCCCGCAUCCCCGGUGCACAUCUGGCUCCUGUCCCUGGCUGGCCGUGCUUGGACAGAUGCCUGUGUGCACCAUCCCUGGAUGGGUAUUCAGAGCUUCCCCCUGGGCCCUCGGCUGUGAGAACGCUCCACAGAGCCUGCACUCAGCACACUGCCGUCCAUGGUGCACAGUUCUGCAGUUUUGGGGAUGAUCAAUUCAGCCACUUUCUCCUUUGUUCCUUGUACUUUUGCCAACAACAAAGAUGCUG